GGCCGCUAGUUUUCUCGUUUGAAUUUUUAUACAUCGUCAUUUCGGGGCCUUUUAAAGCUGAGUAUGCGGUAUGGGCUUUGCUCGUUGUUGAAGGCCGUAGUACGGUACGGUGACCUAUAGUCGUAAAUUUCUGUGUCAUUUUGGUCUCUUGUGGAGAGUUGUCUCAACAUGGCAAUCAUACCACAUCUUUUUUUUGUAAUCAAUGAAUUUUGUAAA
Molecule: long non-coding RNA, 216 nt
Filed under: Mytilus galloprovincialis (Mediterranean mussel)
Lineage: Eukaryota; Metazoa; Mollusca; Bivalvia; Mytilida; Mytilidae
Source: RNAcentral